UAGCAAGAAAGUUGCUUGGAUUAAAUUUCUCGAAACCUAAAGAGUUACCUUAGUUUUGGUUUAGCCUAAUUGAAUAGUGGGUGUGGCAAAACUCUGUUUAAAAGUUAAGGUAGAAAUUAAAUGUUAUUCGUUUUAGGUGAUAGCUAGUUGUGAUAGAAAAAUAUAUAAGUAUUGGUUACAAUAAUUACUAUAUGUUUGUAUUAUACAUAUAAUGAUUUGUUUUCUUAGUUGUAUGAGGAUAAGCUCGUAUAAAGUUUGUUAGCUAAAAAUAUUAUAUAAAUCUAAGCUUGAUAUUAGCUAUGAUAAUGAAUUUGUUAAAAAUGCAUAUAGGUAUAUAUUUAUAUUAUAUUAGAUUAAUAUCAUUUAAUUAUGUAAUCAAAAUAUAAUUGGUUUAUGCUAAAAUGAGUAUUAAUUACAAGUUAAAAUUAAGAACAAGUUAAAUUAUUCUACUUACAAUUUCGUAUGUAUUAUAAAAUAUAUUUUAGGAAUUCGGCAAAACUUAGCUUCGCCUGUUUAGCAAAAACAUGUCUCUUUG
This 535-nucleotide ribosomal RNA is filed under the name Cyclophorus pyrostoma. Its description in RNAcentral is "partial 16S ribosomal RNA". Lineage: Eukaryota; Metazoa; Mollusca; Gastropoda; Architaenioglossa; Cyclophoridae. The record is from RNAcentral.